GUUUUCAUGUCUGGUAACUUGCAAAUGGUCACUUGUGCAAGAUAUUUACCAUAUUUCACUGGGACCUCCUAACAUCAUCUUCUUUUGAUCUAAACCCAGGUUGGUAAAGAAAAUGCAUAUGAUAUGAACUCGUACACCUCCCUGAAUGCUACAUCAGAGAAGCAUAUAGAAUUCAACUCUAUAAAAUCCACCUUCCCCUCUGAAAUGUACAUCUCUAGAUGUGUGUUCCUGAAUCAGCAUUGUUGGUGCUCCUGACGGUGUCAGCCAGGCCACUCAUGCAGACCAUUGCGGCAGCACUGAAAAUGGAAGAAAGAUGGGAUUCUGCUGUCUUUUGUUUUGGCUGAUGAACAGCACCGAGGUGGAGUGGCUCCAGCAGCCAGAACAAGCCACCAUCUCCCCUGGGCUUUCAUAGUAGCCUCCUGACUGGUCUUGCUGCUACCACACUUACACUUCCUGUUCUCUGCAAGGCAGCUGGAGUGACCUUUCACUAAUGUAAGUCAUAUUAUGUCCCCUCUCUGCUGCAAACCCUUCAAUCACUUUCCAUGAAUGGUUCUGGGAAUAAAGUCCAGCUUCCUUCCCCUGAUUCACUUGAUCUGGCCCUUCCCACUUGUCUGACCUGUUUUCCAGCCCAUGCUCCCUGCCCUUGUCUACACUUCUAACGUGUGGUCUUUCUAUUCCUUAAACAUGCCUGGCUCAGUCCCAUGUUAGAGCAUUUCUGCUGGCUCUUCCUCCUGCCUGGACCUUCAUACAACUGGAAAUUCUUGCUUUUCAAGUUGUAAUUUGUUUC
Molecule: long non-coding RNA, 787 nt
Organism: Nomascus leucogenys (northern white-cheeked gibbon)
Lineage: Eukaryota; Metazoa; Chordata; Mammalia; Primates; Hylobatidae
Source: RefSeq, a predicted model, not a curated record